RNAcentral lists this ribosomal RNA (497 nucleotides) under uncultured bacterium. RNAcentral describes it as "partial 16S ribosomal RNA". It matches the Rfam family "Bacterial small subunit ribosomal RNA", at positions 28 to 507 of the family's 1533-position model. The record is from RNAcentral.
GAUGAACGCUGGCGGCGUGCCUAAUACAUGCAAGUCGAGCGAACGGACGAGAAGCUUGCUUCUCUGAUGUUAGCGGCGGACGGGUGAGUAACACGUGGAUAACCUACCUAUAAGACUGGGAUAACUUCGGGAAACCGGAGCUAAUACCGGAUAAUAUUUUGAACCGCAUGGUUCAAAAGUGAAAGACGGUCUUGCUGUCACUUAUAGAUGGAUCCGCGCUGCAUUAGCUAGUUGGUAAGGUAACGGCUUACCAAGGCAACGAUGCAUAGCCGACCUGAGAGGGUGAUCGGCCACACGGGAACUGAGACCCGGCCCAGCCUCCUACGGGAGGCAGAAGUAGGAAAUCUUCCGCAAGGGGCGAAAGCCUGACGGAGCAACGCGGCGUGAGUGAUGAAGGUCUUCGGAUCGUAAAACUCUGUUUUUAGGGAAAAACAUAUGUGUAAGUAACUGUGCACAUCUUGACGGUACCUAAUCAGAAAGCCACGGCUAACUACGUG